CUGCGGCUGCCAGUGGUUUGCUGUUUGCUUUGGCUAGAAAUCAAAGCGCGAGUGGAGGUUGGGAUUGGAUGGGGUAGAGUGGGAGGUGAUGUGGCUUGACGUGGGAUGGUAGAGGUGAUACAGCGUCUUGAGGUACACCGUGGCUUUGUCCCGCUAAACAGGAAGCCACAGUACACUGGUCCUCCCUCAGGAAAGGGAUCAGGUUUUCCUGGCCACCUCUGCCCUGUCAUCAACCCUACAUGCUCCUCCUGAUCCUGACAAGAUCUGCAUGUGUCACAAGCUACAACAUGUCCCCACCCCCUGCAAACCUUACCAUACCCCCCUCAAGUUUGUUUACUUUGGCACACAUGGCUGAAACCCUUGAAAACAGAUAUGACGGGCCGUUCUAAAUGUGACAAUAUCAACCGCCUCCUAAAAAUCAAUAAAGCUGCUGUUCACAGCCCAUAACCCAUUCACAACCCAUUAGCAGAUCAUGUUACAUGACAGUACCAUGAUUCUGUCGCGAGUGACAGUUACACUUUUGUUAUUGGCGAGCAGGCUAAUCACAUGUGAAGCAACUGAAAGCAAACAGGCUAUUAUAUGCCAGAAAGCCACACUGUUGCUCUUUUAUAUCCCACAGGAUCACCAGGAGAAUUUCUUACAGACUGCAAAUCACUUACACUCAGCUGGUAGUUUAUUAGGUACACCUAGCAUGUGCCAAUCAGGUGCUGAAUUUGUAUUUAUCAUCGGCACUGUUGUACAAAUAAAGUUAUCUCGGUUUGUAAUUUUUGCAGGCGCAAUUUCAUAUUCGAUGGACAAGGCCAUUUAUCACUGUCAGAUCCACGACUUACUUAAAGCCCCUUCAACCAAAAGAAAUUCCUGUUUUGACAGGCUUUCUGGAGGCAGGCACAGCUGAGGCUAGGACAAGCACUGUAGGGGGUCUUCUGGCUUACAAGGCUCUGACGUCCCCAGGCCCUCUCACAUUCAGGUGUAAAACCCUCCGGCCAGCACAGCCGGGCUAACAUAGCUUGGGACUUUCAGCGCCACACUGUCUGCUGCAGCCCCCGAGCCUCCCAAACUGCUACUAAAAUAGAAGCAACCUCACACCGAGACAUGGCUUCACAGCUAGCAUAUAAAAAUCUGAAUAUUCAAAGGAUUUGCAGCUCAUCCAUCAUUUUUUCAUACUGAAAAAACCUGAUUUGGCUUUUUUUUUUUUUGCAGUAACUCUACUGAUGAUUUGAGGCUUUAUUUUUUAAGUUGUGCGGUGAAUUAAGUAUACUGGGUGGGCAAACUCAAUCAUGGAUCAUUUAUAUUCUAAAUAACCAUAACCUCAGUGGUUAUUUCAAGUGCAAGAAUGAAACACUUGUUCUCUUUAUAAGUUUCAUACAGUAUGUGGAGGGAUCACACCUGGUGUCACAGUAGCAAAGUUAUUCCAAUAAGUUUUGUGGCUUUAUGUUGAAAAUGUUUUUUUAAAGAAGUCAAAUGUUCUUUUUUCACACAUUGUAAAACUGUUAUGUCAAGGUUUUCAAUAGGGUGCAGGUGAUGCCCUUUACCAGCCCAUUAUCCCAGAUGAUCAACAGAUGAUUCCCCAUACCAUUCACCUCUGCUUCCUGUUCAGCAGCACAGCGGAUAUCAAAACCACACAUGUUCCUUCAGUGCUCUAGAUUCCCUGUCUGGGAAUGGCCCCCUGAGGGUCAAACCUUGGCUUCUUCCUCCUCUUCCUGCUAUUUGCAGGUCAAAGGCGACGGCCUGCUGGAGAGGCGUUUCCCACUACAGCUCUACUGGAUUCACACUCAAACCUCCAUUAGGGAAGACAACUUUUGUUGUGCCUCAGAAAACACCAAGGGUCACGUCUGGUCUCUCUCCUGAGCCCCAGUGGAGGCUGCGUGGGCUUACUCCAAGACAUCUGGCAUGAUAGAGUUUACUCGUUCAGCUGCUGCAGCCUGGACAGAAACACCAGCUCUUACCUUACAAACCAGGUGUCACCACUUCGUCCAUGAUCACAGAGACGUCGUCCAUGAUCGCAGUCUUCAUACAAAGAAGUUCUUUGAAACCAGGACUGGGGCCUCAAGGAUUCAAACUUCAACCAUUAAAUGACAGAAGAGACAGACGGGAGACAUUUUGAGAAGGUCCUCAGCUGCUGUCGUCUUCUCCUGCAGAGACAAGAACACGUGUUAAUCACAGAAACUGAUCAGUAAAGCUAUUUUUCCUUGUUGAUACGUAAUUACAGUGAUGUAUACUAAACUUUUACAACUCAUUUAGUAUCACAUAUUUCAGUGUGUUUUUCUAAUUAUUACAGUCACAGUUACGACUAGAAAUUUUUCUAAAACUCUGAUAUAUAAUAAUUAUUUUUUAUGCCCUGCUAUUCUAAGACAGUUUCAUGCCUAAGACAAUUUUUACAGUUCUUGACGCCUUACUGUAAUACUACUCACUUAACAUACUAUGAUGAUUUUUGAGUGUUUGUGGUUUAAGUUAGAUUUUGUGUUUGUCAUUUAAUUUUGGUAUUUUGCAAUUUCAAAGCGUGGAAUAUCUUUACUCAAAUCCAAUCUAUUACUGUAUACAUAGUCCUGUGUAUAGUGUUCAUAUUGUUUAUAAUUUUUAUAUAUUGUUAUAUAUUAUGUUGUUUUAUAUCUUGCCUUGUUUAUAUCAUGCCUUGUUUAUAUCAUGCCUUUUUAUAUUUUUGCUGCUGUGACACUGAAUUUCCCCACUGUGGGAUUAACAAAAUAUUAUUAUACGCUGACUCAA
This is a long non-coding RNA of Lates calcarifer (barramundi perch), 2724 nucleotides long. RefSeq lists it as uncharacterized. The record is from RefSeq and is a predicted model, not a curated record. The transcript has 6 exons. Lineage: Eukaryota; Metazoa; Chordata; Actinopteri; Centropomidae.